This 492-nucleotide ribosomal RNA is filed under the name uncultured bacterium. RNAcentral's name for it is "partial 16S ribosomal RNA". It matches the Rfam family "Bacterial small subunit ribosomal RNA", at positions 29 to 507 of the family's 1533-position model. The record is from RNAcentral.
AGUGAACGCUGGCGGUAGGCCUAACACAUGCAAGUCGAACGGCAGCACAGUAAGAGCUUGCUCUUACGGGUGGCGAGUGGCGGACGGGUGAGGAAUACAUCGGAAUCUACUUUUUCGUGGGGGAUAACGUAGGGAAACUUACGCUAAUACCGCAUACGACCUACGGGUGAAAGCAGGGGAUCUUCGGACCUUGCGCGAUUGAAUGAGCCGAUGUCGGUUUAGCUAGUUGGCGGGGUAAAGGCCCACCAAGGCGACGAUCCGUAGCUGGUCUGAGAGGAUGAUCAGCCACAUUGGAACUGGGAACCGGUCCAGACUCCUACGGGAGGCAGCAGUGGGGAAUAUUGGACAAUGGGCGCAAGCCUGACCCAGCCAUACCGCGUGGGUGAAGAAGGCCUUCGGGUUGUAAAGCCCUUUUGUUGGGAAAGAAAAUCAGCAGGUUAAAACCCCGCUGUUGUGACGGUACCCAAAGAAUAAGCACCGGCUAACUUCGUG